CAUGAAGAAAGAUAUAUGCAUUGGCGGCCCCCUCAACUUCAAUUAUAUUAGCAGCAGCCUUUACAUACAAUAUGUUUUUAGUGUGUAAUGACAACUGCAGAUUCUUUUGUACAUGAGUUACACACGAGUCACAAAAUUGCAUUUGAAGUAGAAAGAUUAAUCCAAAUAAUAACACUUCAAAAUACAUUCUCCAAGGAUUAUAGACAAUUUUUCCACAAAGACUGUUUAAGGGAAGACAUGAAAUUAGAGUUGCUUAAAAGAAUUCUGUCCAAGGCAACUUAUUUGUCCUCCUUCAAAAAUUGUGCUUCUUUCACUCAUAUUUGGCUCUCUAAUUUCAGAAUUUAUUUACAACACGUCCAGUGUCUCACAUCUAUAGUUAUAGUUCUAAUAAUCUAGACUUUCUUAUUCCUUCCUUGAUUUUUUCUGCAUAAGCUUUACACGUUGAUUUGGACCCUAUCAUAGAAUCAAGAUUAGCAAUAUGCUCUUUUCACCUGGCAAGAAGCUCUGUUAAAUAUCUUGAUGAGAUCCUUCCCUUCGUUGGCUUCUUUAUUUAAAGAGAAUCAGUCCCAGAGUCAUGUCUUCAAAGACUGAACAUCCAAGCUCGUUAUUCUAUAAAAAAAUUAUUAUGUUGAUUAUCCAAAAAGAGGAAUAUAUAUGUAGUAUGAAAAUUGUAAAUGAGUAUAACAUAUAUGUUGGUCCAAAUACAGUAAGAAAAGCUUUUAGAUUUUUAAUUGAAUACAUUAAAGAACUAAAUGCUAGGACUGAAUGCAUGGAUUUUGAUGCCGCACCCGUAUCGAAUUCUUCAAAAAUUAUAUUACUUUUGACGAAUUCGACACACAUUCAUUGACAUUUUUCAAGAAUUCGAGCUACAUAGACUAAAUGAAUAUUAAAUUAUCUUCCUUGAAUAAAACUUUGCAAGAAUUCUAAAUAUUUCAAUUCUUUAGCCAAUCAUUUUGAAAUGGAGAAGAGAAGAAUUUUUUUAAACUCUAUCACCUUUUACCUCAUACGAUCAUACUUAUCUAUUCAUUUUUCAUCCUUGGCAUGAAAUCAAAAUAUUCUUCAACAAAUAUGUCUAACUCAUUAAUGUGCAACUUGACAUUUUAGAAGGGUUAAAACGCUUCUCUUUUCUAGAGAGUAAGUAUGAAGAAGAUCAAAGAUCCAAUUGUACUGCAGUCUUCAUGCCCUUGGCAUAAUAUGACAGUAAUGUUUUACACGUCAUUGAGGAAAAAAAAAAGUUGAGAACAUUUUAACAGAGAACAUAAGGAAAUAUACAUUAUAUAUUUUAUUCACCAUUAUUUUCCCUCUUUCAUAUCUACUUUAAUUUGUUAUACUCGAGUCGAGGGUCUCCAAAACAGCCUCUCGUCCUCCAUGAAUUAAUGAUAAGGUCUACUUACACUCUACUCUCCCCAAACGCCACUAAAUAGUAUUUCAAUAAGUAUGUUGAUGUUGUUAUUAUUGAGAAAAUAAAGACAGGAGAAAUAUGACAAUCUUGAGAGAACACAUCAUCUAGAAUAUAUGGUGUGAGUGUCCUUUUCCAACAUUAUUUUCCAUGUAUUAAGACAGGCCACUGCAAACAGAGUAACUAAGGACUUCUGGAUGAUCAGAUCCAGAAUAAAUUGGCUCUCAGGUGGGGAUGCCAACACAAAAUUCUUCCACACCUCCACCAUGGUAAAAAGGAGGAAAAACAAAAUCUCCUACCUUAAGGACAAUGUAGGGAACCUCAUCACUGAUAGAUGACAUCAUUGACCACAUCUCUACCUUUUACCACCAACUCUACACUACUGACCACACUAGUAGUGCCAUUAUUGGGGCCCCUUAUCAAGAUGACACUAACACUUUCUCCCCCAGCCUGAGGUCCAACCUCAAUAGCCCCCUAAGGGAUACUGAGAUCAUCAAAGCUCUGAAAGGUUUCAAGCCCCUUAAAUACCCUGGACCUGAUGGUCUUCACCCUUCUUCUUUCAAAAAUACUGGGACAUUGUAGGAGAUGCCACUAAGGCUGUCUGUUAUAAGGUAUUUGAUGAAGCUAGGAUCCCGGAAGAGGUCAAUAAGACCCUCUUAUGCCUCAUCCCUAAAUGUCCCAAUGCCUUUUCUAUCAAGAACUUUAGGCCCAUUAACUUAUGCAACACUUCUUAUAAGCUCAUCACCAAAAUUAUUGUUAACUAAAUAAAACCCAUGCUUGGCACUAUUAUAGCCCCUACUCAAUCUAGCUUCCUAGAUAAUAAGAGAAUCUCUGAUAAUGCUAUCAUAUUCCAAGAAUAUGUCUCUCAUUUCAAAAAAAUAUGGGUCAUAAACCACCACGUCAUGAUCCUAAAGAUUGACUUAGAGAAAGCCUUCGAUAGAAUGGAAUAGUCUUUCAUCCACAGCUCUCUCCAGUUCUUCAACUUCCCCACCAAGCUUAUCAAGAUAAUUAUGUCUUAAAAGUCUACUAGUUCUAUCGGGGCAGCACCCCCUCUUUUAAUCCUACCAGAGGUAUCAGGCAGGGAAAUCCUAUAUCACCCUACCUGUUCAUCAUUUACAUGGAAAGACUGUUCAGAGACAUUGACAAUCAGGUGACCUACAAAAAUUGGACUCCUAUCUCUAUUACAGCUAAUGGCCCGAAAAUCUCCAGACCUCACUCUGAUUGCUAAAGCUAAUAGGAACAACUGUAAUGCAAUCUUCUCUACUUUCUUCAAUUCCAAUAGAACCUCCGAACAGCAAAUCAACAAAGCUAAGUCCAGAGUCUUGUUCUCACGCAAUACCUCCAGCCAAAAUACUUUUGAAUGUUCCAAUGCCCUAGGCAUUGAUAGGAGCAUUGAGUUUGGAAAACACCUUGGCUUCCCCAUCUUCCAUAAAGCCUCUAUGAAUGUUGAUUUCCAACUUAUCACUGAUAAUAUAUCCAGAAGACUAGCUGGCUGAAAGUAAAAAAUCCUCAACAUGACUGGCAGAUUUGUUCUUACCAAAGCUACUCUUAGCAGUAUGCCCAUCCAUAUUAUGCAGUACAUCAGGAUCCCUAGCAAAGUCCUUUAAACUAUUGAGAAAAUUGGAAACCCCCGGAUAAGGAAACCUUUAUGCUGAAUAUAAAUGGUGUUGUCCACUCUAACCCAGGCCGAGGGAGGGGAGAUGGAUUAGGGGGGUCAUUAGGAACCACAAAGAAGACUGGGUUGCUGGGUUUAAGGAUUGCACACCCCUAACCACCCUCCUCUAUGCCGAGUUAAAAGCCAUGUUGCAGGGACUGAGAGUAGCUAAGCCCCUCAACAUUAAGCCCUUCCAAUUGUGCUCUGAAUCACUGGAACUUGUCCAUGCAAUGGAACGAGGACAUGAUCUAUACACUAACAUUAUAUGUAAGUGCAGGUACCUAAUGCAGGAGCUUGGGGGCACCCGAUACCAAACACAUCUUCAAGGAGCAAAAUAGAGUAGCGGGUGCCAUGGUAAAGGAAGGCAGCAGCUGAAUACAAUUUGGAGUACCAUGUGUUUUGUCAUCUCCACCCUCAAAUGUAGUAGCCCUAGUAGAAACAGAAAAAAGGGUGUUGUUUUUGCAAGAACAGUAAAACUUACUAAUUUUGGCCUACAAGGCCGGGUUGUGGCCUCUUCUACUAACCCCACCCCUCAUGUUUUGAAUGGAGUUACAGCUUCAAUAAUUGCUACUUUGGUUUAAGUUGCUAAUAUAAUCCAUAUUAUAAAAAAAAAAAGAACCAUUAAACAUAAAAAAAAAAUAAUAAUAAUCUAUGCUUCAUAGGGGAAGAGUAGAAAAGUAGAAACUGGAACAAAAACAAAAUAGACCAACUACUAGUAUGUUCAUUGAGAAAAUCCGACUUGACAUAUCAAGAAGCUACGGAGAAGAUGAUGAAUCGGAGCCAGAAAGCUAUAAUAUGAAUCUAACCUUCUACAAUAAUAUCGUCAUACGAGGGAUGAAGAUCUUAAAUGAUAUCUCCCAAAAAUCAAAGAUAUAAUAUUCCACUUAGAAAAAUAGGUGCACCGUGUCGGCAAUUUAGCAUUGAUAUUUUGACAUUGAUAGAAAGUGUGUUUGGUAUGAAGGAAAAUAUUUUUUGGAAAAUGUUUUCCAAUUUUCUCAUGUGUGGUUGACUUACAAAUUUUGAAAAAU
This 4081-nucleotide long non-coding RNA is filed under the name Capsicum annuum. Its description in RNAcentral is "long non-coding RNA (CANN_LNC019358)". Lineage: Eukaryota; Viridiplantae; Streptophyta; Magnoliopsida; Solanales; Solanaceae. The record is from RNAcentral.